Felis catus (domestic cat) is the source of this 843-nucleotide long non-coding RNA. RefSeq lists it as uncharacterized. NCBI's taxonomy places the organism in Eukaryota, Metazoa, Chordata, Mammalia, Carnivora, Felidae. The record is from RefSeq and is a predicted model, not a curated record. The transcript is spliced from 3 exons.
CCGAUUGGCUGGAGAAGGGUUGGAGUCCUGUAACUCAAGGGGAGGAGGCAUGGUCGGUGGCGUAGGUCCGCCCCUUCAUUACACUCCUGAUUUGUGACAGCAGAUUUGUCUACCUAAAAUGAAGAACUGGAAUGAAUGCCAACUAGAAAAAAAGGGAUGGACUGUGCUGAUUAUUCUGCAUUUACUAUUACCUUUAUGGAUCUGUUCUUUGCGCUGAUCUUUACCCCAGAACUACAUCACUUGGUAUCUCUUGCCCUCUGACAUUUUGCUGUUUUCAAUCAAUAAGAGGCAUUACUAUGGGAGAAAAGGAGUAAGAGGGCAAAGUUAUCAGGAAUCUGGAUGUAUGCCUGCACCAUCAAUAACUGCUGAUCAACCGUUUCUUUUGCUACCUUCACAGAAGAGAUGAAGUUCCUGUCAUCUGAGGACAGACCUUGGCAUCAGGAAUGCCAAAAGUCCUGUCCCACCCCUAUUCAGUGGUAUCUUCUCCUGCCCAAAGAUAUACCUCUGCAACAUAACUUAAGGCUAAUAGUCGCAUCCUGUUCUGAAAAAGAGGAAACACUUGAAAUACCAUUCAGAGGUGAUUAAAUACCUGGCUGAAUAAGGGAAAAAGUGUUUUCUCUUUCUCCGUUUUCCCCCUUCCUUCCUUCCUUCCUUCCUGUCCUCUUUCCCUCCUUCCCCCCUUCCUUCCUACCUUCUUUCCUUCUCUUCUCUCUUUCUCUUCAUGAAAACUACAGAAUUGUAAGCAAACACCAGGUAUUAUAAUAACAGGAUCAGAACAACCACAAGCCUUCAAAAAGAGACCUUUCAAUUAUUUUGCAUUAAAAUUUUUUCAGCUUACCAAGA